This 58-nucleotide transfer RNA is filed under the name Salmo salar (Atlantic salmon). It matches the Rfam family "tRNA", at positions 8 to 63 of the family's 71-position model. Rfam says of the family: Transfer RNA (tRNA) molecules are approximately 80 nucleotides in length. Their secondary structure includes four short double-helical elements and three loops (D, anti-codon, and T loops). Lineage: Eukaryota; Metazoa; Chordata; Actinopteri; Salmoniformes; Salmonidae. The record is from Rfam by way of RNAcentral.
UAGCUCAGUUGGUAGAGCAUGGUGUUUGCAACGUCAGCAUGGUGGGUUCGAUUCCCAC